Molecule: ribosomal RNA, 313 nt
Filed under: Lactiplantibacillus plantarum
Lineage: Bacteria; Bacillati; Bacillota; Bacilli; Lactobacillales; Lactobacillaceae
Description: partial 23S ribosomal RNA
Rfam family: Bacterial large subunit ribosomal RNA
Source: RNAcentral
UAGGACUGAACAUUUGAGUUACCAAAGAACUUGAUAGUCGAAGGAUUUGGGAAAAUCCGCCAUAGAUGGUGAUAGCCCAGUAGAUUAAAUCAAAUUCUCUCAGUUCAGGAUCCUGAGUACGGCGGAACACGUGAAAUUCCGUCGGAAUCCGGGAGGGCCAUCUCCCAAGGCUAAAUACUACCUAGUGACCGAUAGUGAACCAGUACCGUGAGGGAAAGGUGAAAAGCACCCCGGGAGGGGAGUGAAAUAGUUCCUGAAACCAUGUGCCUACAAUAAGUCAGAGCGCGUUAAUGCGUGAUGGCGUGCCUUUUGU